Molecule: ribosomal RNA, 444 nt
Filed under: uncultured soil bacterium
Lineage: Bacteria
Description: bacterial SSU rRNA
Rfam family: Bacterial small subunit ribosomal RNA
Source: RNAcentral
AGAACGAACGCUGGCGGCAUGCCUAAUACAUGCAAGUCGAACGAGACCUUCGGGUCUAGUGGCGCACGGGUGCGUAACGCGUGGGAAUCUACCCUUGGGUUCGGAAUAACAGUUGGAAACGACUGCUAAUACCGGAUGAUGACGAAAGUCCAAAGAUUUAUCGCCCAGGGAUGAGCCCGCGUAGGAUUAGCUAGUUGGUGAGGUAAAGGCUCACCAAGGCUACGAUCCUUAGCUGGUCUGAGAGGAUGAUCAGCCACACUGGGACUGAGACACGGCCCAGACUCCUACGGGAGGCAGCAGUAGGGAAUAUUGGACAAUGGGGGCAACCCUGAUCCAGCAAUGCCGCGUGAGUGAUGAAGGCCUUAGGUUGUAAAGCUCUUUUACCCGAGAUGAUAAUGACAGUAUCGGAGAAUAAGCUCCGGCUAACUCCGUGCCAGCAGCCGC